Mustela lutreola (European mink) is the source of this 7657-nucleotide long non-coding RNA. RefSeq lists it as uncharacterized. The transcript has 3 exons. NCBI's taxonomy places the organism in Eukaryota, Metazoa, Chordata, Mammalia, Carnivora, Mustelidae. The record is from RefSeq and is a predicted model, not a curated record.
ACUGUUCCCCGGCUGGCUGUAGCGGACGCCUGCAAAACAAGACGGACCCCACAGCAGCCGUGAGUGCCCCCAGGGCCUUGGAACACAGACUCGGCUCCCCUUGUUGGCAAGGGUGGACGCCAGGAAGGCCAAGUAGCCUUCUCCUCCCCCCGUCUGCUCACAAGAAACACUGGCCAUCUUUCUCUAGGUUAGAGGUGGCGUGGGCUUGACUUCAAAUUCUAGAAUGUAAGCUCCCCAAGGGCAGGGCAUUUUUGUCGGUUUUGUUUUGUUCAUGGUGGUAUCCCUAGUGUCUUGUCACUUGGUAACCACUUCAUACAUACCUGUCAGAGGAAAGAAGGAAGAAAGGAAGGGAGCAGGGAAAGAGGAAGGGAGGGCAGGAGGGAGGAAGGAAGGAAGGAACUCCAAUGCACGAGAGGAUUCCCCUCGUUGUUGCUUUAGCGUAAUUGUUUCAGGAUUUAGGUGCGGAGAUUGGCCUUCUCUUCCUGGUAAGAGUAUUUCUUUUACUCUUCCAAAUGCCUUCUAGAAAUGUUUUCCCAGCACUCAUGGCAAUGUGGAGCCUGCCAAGUACGAGCAGACCCAUUCUACAGAGAGGCACUUGCCCAGGGAGGACCCCUGCAUGAGCCAUAGCAGAAGGCAUCCAUCGCUGCACACCAUGGUUUUGGCUGAGACAGAGAGGCCCCUGGGGGGACACAGGCAGAGCAGGACAGGGAUGUGGGGCUGCGGCUGGGAGUCUUGGGCUCUGUAAUUCACAUUCCUCUGAUGGGGUCCCAUCUGGCUGGCUUCCCAGGGCCCAGGGGAAGGUGCAGCCACCAGGAGGUGGGGCAGGGAGCACAUCCUGGAGGGAUGUGGAUGAUUAGUCUGCAAGGGAGGGGAGAACCAAGCAUGCUUAUAGCUUCACUGCUCUGACUCUGCCUCUUGCUCAGGAACCAAAACAGAGGUCUGCGCUCAGAAAGGCAAAAGUGCUGUGCAGAGGUGGCCUACAGAAGGAAGGAGAAAGGGGGUGGGGGGCAAAGAACCCGGGCCCAGUUUGCAGGGUCAAAGUCUCGCAGGAUGUGCCCAGGAGACAGCCAAAGACAAAGCUGGGGGGUCUCCGGGACACCUCACCUAAGCUCAAAGCUGAUGGAGACCAUGUUCUUGUUUUUCACUUUGGAUUCAACAAAAAGGUUUGAGGGACCCUGGGUCUACCUGCAAGGUAGGGAGAUGGAAUGCUCUCGGCAUGCCAUUGCUUGGAGAGGUGGGCCAACUGUCUGGCUACAAUUCUCCAUCUGCCAGCUUUCCCCAUAUUAACUCUGACUGUAUGAAGGACACUGGUUCUGUUGGUCUGUCUCCCGCUGCCCUGCUUCCUGCUCCCCCAGGGCCCCACCCUCCCGAGGAGGCUACAAAGCCCCCCCUCCCACCAGGAGCCUCCAAAUCACUAACACGAAGCUUGCCAAAAGGAGACCCAAGCCAGUUUUCCUGGCACCAUCCAAAGGACGUUACCCAAGGCUGAUAUGACCCAGAGCCAUAAGGGACUAGGAAGAAAACAAACAAAUGCUAAGGCAGACUUCCAACCUUCAAAAGCAAUCUGCCUGACUCUGAGCGGCUGUGUGUUCUACGGACCUUCUUCUAUUGGUGGUUGUCCUCAUCCUUUGAUGCUUGGGGCUGCUGGUGGGGGUGGCAGUGGGACAGCAUUGGAAUUUGGUGGUUAUUGGUCUAGGGCACUCCACUUUGGGGGGAACAGGAGCCAUAAUGUUAAAAGGAGGAAAGGCUUCCCUGCCUCCAAACCAGCACCCCUUGCCUGGUCCUGCCCAUGUUCCUCCACAGCCACCUGCAGUCCCCAAAGUCUCUCUACUCUGCCCCACUGGGUCACAUUAGGUUCUUUUUCUCCACUCACAUUUCCCACUGGACUCCUGGCAGGGUGUGUCCCAACAGCUCCCAGUGCUGUUAUGCAGAAGAAGAAAGAUGUGUGCCUUGUGAGCUCAGGAGCCAGAGCAGAUCCCAUGGAAAAGAGGGAGGCUGGUUUUACAUCAGCAAGAGAAAGAGAUUUCUGACAAGGAGGGACAGUGAGGAAGACCGUGGGCUCAGGAGCUAGAGAAACUCGGGCUUGAUUCCUGAAUUUGCUCUUUGGAGAUGAUCUUGGGAAAAUGACUUUUCUGUCUGUGCCAUAGCCUUGUCUCAUACGAUGGAGGAAACAUAUCCUUAACACAGUGAUCUCGAGAUAGGAGAAAAUAUCUGUAAGUCUCCUAGCCUAAUGCUAAAAAGGGGUAACUAUAGGUGGGGAGGGGACUAGUAUGGAGAGGGACCCCAAGGUACCUGUCCUAAGACUCUGGAAUUCUAGACAACCCGGGGCAGGUGCUAAGCACCCAGUGGAAUGACCUGUCCUUGGAGAAGGGCUCCCCAAGGAUCCUUCCCUGAAGAAGCCCUGAGGUUUUGCUCUGGAAGCAACCUGGGAGGCAGGCCUGGCCUCUGCUGCUCUCAUUCUUUCCUUCUGGAGGGACUGGACUUCACCCUGUUUUCUCCGACUCCCGGGCCAGCUAUUUACCUCCCCAAGAUGCUCUGCUCCGGAGAGCGCGGUGAUAACGCGGGAGUCAGGUGUGCGUUCCUCUCCCAGCCCGUCCCCGCCAUCGAUUCAGCCUCAAGUCAAACAGACUCCGGUUGUAGCCUAUUUAAUUUGGCCGAAGGAAGAGGGCCAGUCCUCUGAUGAUCAAAUAUGGGUCAUGGAGAGGCUUCUCCCCUACUGCAGGCUACAGAAUUAUUUAUUUAAAAAUAAUUAACCAAGGAUAUCCACAGGAAACAAAAGCCUCCUUUUAGGAAGGAGCCUGGCAGAAGGGGUGUCGAGAGCCAUUUGUUAGAACCCCAGCAAUGUAGCCCGAGGCUGCCGUGGUUUUUAAACCUCGUUUUCUUGCCCAGCAGAACUUCAUUCUAGGAGAAAUGUCAAGGUGGGGCUGUUGUGUUAAAAGACCGGUGGGCCUAGACCUCUGGAUAAGAGGGAGCAUCGGGAGGGAGUUAGGGGAUCCCUCUUUGAUCCCAGCCCUGCCUUCAGUGUAUUGGGGGAACCCCAGCUUCCUCACCUCUGAGCCCGCUGGGAGAGGGGGCUGCUAUCACCCCCUGAGUGUGGUGGGAGUGAGGCAGGGGGCUGCUCGCCCGUUCCUGAUUCACCUGUGACCUUUCCGACCCGUGCUCCUCUCCCCAGGAGUCUGGGAAUCACUCUGGGCCCAGAGAAGGUGGCUCUGGGAUCAGGCAGCCGCCUGAAAGGGCGCGUGGAGGGGGAAAGUGUAUCACAAGGUAUCUGCUGGCGAUGCACCAGAAAUAGUGUUCUCGUUGGAGGAAGGAGAGGCCAGGUCCUUGGGUAUUUCACAAACCCAGAAGAGCGCUUCAAAGGAGAAGGAGCGAGGGGGAGGCUCUGGAACCCAGCAACCUGGGCUGAAAUCCUGGUUUUACCACACAUGCGCUGUGUGACCUUGGGGAAGUGACUAAACCUCCCUGAGCUUCAGUUUCUUUGCUGUUUAACAGUCUCUGCCCCUUAGGUCAAGACGAAUGACCUUAAGAGAUGUGAAAGUCCCCAGAAACUGCCUAGCACAUAACAAUUGCUCAAGAUACCUCAGCUCCUUCUACCUUGGGACCAUCUUUGUCUAAAAGAUGUUUUCAGGAAGGCUGAGAUCACAAAACUUGACUGAGCCCCUGUCACAGGCCAGGUACUACACUAGGGCAGUAGAAUGGCCUCUCCCCUUCUUCCUUUACCUCCAUGAACUCUGAACGGGAAUAUACCACCAGGGCUCUGGUUUAAUACGACUGACUGAAGAUGCUGAGUCAAUAGCCCCAGAGGUCCCCGGAGGUCCAGAGGAGACAGACAAUGCCAGAAGGUGGUCUUCUACCUUGCACUCACUUCCUGGCUCAAGGCACUCACUGGCCACGUCCCCAUUGCUGGUCCUAGGAACCACAGCACGUUGUGUCCAGCAGCCAAAGUCCUCCCAGCUAGAAUCCAGAACCAUCCCUGAGGUCCUGGGGAGGAGGUGACCUACUUCACCUGUUCCUAGGCCUCAGGAUCAUGGGUAUGGGGCUCUUUCUAAAUUCCUGAUGGCAUGUGGGACAGAGACAACACAUCCAGUUUCCAUGCAAUACGACCGGUCAGAAGUAUCAAGGCAUGACGGAACUCAUGGUUCCAGAAGCCAGCAUCUUCACACUCGGCUUCCUGUGCCAGCACCCUCCUACAGGGCACUCUUCACUUUGCUGCAGCCAGGGAUUUCUUUCCGAAACAAACUCGUACCAUGUCAUUGCCCUGUUUGAAAAUCCAGCAUGGCCCCUCACUGCCUCCUGUAAAAGCCACAACAGCAAGGACUAGCAGAAUCAGGCCUUUGGGACUCCAAGCACCUUGGCUGUAGCCUCUCACACAACGCCCCCAUACAGCCAUAUCAGAGCACCUGCUGUCCGUCAUGUUGGCCUGUUCACCCCCUGCUUCCAUGCCUUUGCUUCUGCUGUUCCCUCUGCUGGGAAAGCUCUUCCCUUCUUCUCCAUGUCACAUCUUUUUUGUUAAGAGGGCUUAAUGUCACCACUUCUGUGAAGCUCUCCUUGAUUCAUCCUGGUAGUUACCUGCUUUGCCCUUUGCAUUUUACACACAGUUGAGAACCUUACAGCAGGAGUCCGUCCCCUGGCACCAUAAUGUUCCUUUGACAGGGUACUUCUCUUUCCCUCUUAAAGGAAGGCAUGGCUAUUUACUCAUUGUGGCAUCCUCAGAGCCUCACAGAGAGCCUGGGACUGUGACUAUUUACUGAAAGAAGGAAUGAGCCUUCAGCUGCUUUGAGCAGGCAUGCCCCAGGACAAGAGAGCAUCCCUUCCGGCGGAAGGAGAAAAUGCAGUCAGUCCUACGGGAAUGCUGGUGUUAAAAGCAUGCAUCUGUUCCAAUUCUAUUGAUACAUUAUGGAAUAAUCUGAAUGCAACGUGAAUUUCCCAUUUGAGGAAUCCAGAAACCUGCACCCAGCCAAGCGGAGCCACAGGGGAAAACACUGAACACAUUAGUGUGCACGUGCACACGCAGACGAACACACACACCCCCUUCAAGCCUCUACCAGCUACCAGCAGUUCCCUGCAUGGGCUAUCGGCCACCUCCACCCAUAUCUGGAGUUAGAACUUUCCCUUCAAUUUCUGACAGUCCUCCGCCCACCACCUCAUGGGAACUCACAGGCUGAAGCCCUUGUGACACCUGCUCCCCUUUGCAAACUUUAGGGCUCUUUCAAGGUAAAAUGCCAUAUAUUGUUGCACUGAAACACUUCCUAACCAGUUCACAGGAGUAAAACUCUGCUCAUCUUUUUAUUAGAUUUUUAUCUCUUCAAAGGGUGUUCACUGGAGAAGUUUUGAGUAGUGUGUCCUUAACCCCAUUCCCCCCCAACCCAUAAACCUCAUGGUUUAUGCGUGACUUUACAGAGCACUGUGGUUUUUCUGACGUCAAUGUCAGCUUCUACAGAACUGGCUAUGGACCUGUGUUUGAGGCCAGAUACAACUGCCUUGCAGGAGGACCUGGGAGAGGACCCACUCAGGGUGUAAUUAACCACAAGGACUUUUCAGAAACCUGUGCUUCAGGGGGCGGGAACUAUAGCUCCCUGAGAGCUUCUAAAAACAGCCGGAAUGCCACAAUUCCAGAAAUCAACAGGCCAUCAGCAUCGAGACACUUGAAAUGAAUUCUCUCUGUCUCUCUGCCUUGAUGAUCCUGGGCCGGUCAACUUGGGCAUCUCGGCAUUCUUAUCUACAAGAUGGCCGUAUGGAUUUUCCUUCCUCAGAAGCCAGAAUACUGAGUGAGUAAAAUAAAGUGAGAGAAGCACCGGGUUUUCCAGGGAGAGAAAAAGCCGGGCAAACAGAAGAGCCAUGUCAGCCAGGGAAACAUGACCAGAAUUGCUCUUUUAUAGGAAGUGGGGGGAAGAGGGGGGUGAGGCCUCCUGGGCAAUUGUGAAGCUUGGCUUGUCCCCACGUGGCCUCUGGCACUGAAGCCAGGGCCCCCAUUUUCCUGGGGUCUGUGAGUUGUACCCAGAAUCUGGUGGGAUGCCUUUCACCCUUGACGUUUCCAAGCCAAUCUCCCAUCCCUGAUAAUGCAGGAAUGUUCCUCCAACCGGUGGACCUUUGCCAGCGCGAACGAGCGUCCCAGCCACCAACAGAGUAAACAUUACUCAACGGGCCAGGGCUCUGUCACACACAUUCUUCCCGUGUGUUUCUAACCUCAUGCAGAGCACAGCCCAACCCUGUUGGGUCGAGAAACUGGGAACUUAAGCCCAGGCAAGAGGGAGCGUGUGAAGGAGAAAAGGAAACAACCCUGUCCAUCAAUUAUGGGCAGACAGAGCUGUCUUUGCUAUGACGCCAGAACUCAGGGCCGGGGAGGGGGUCAGGAGGAAUCAGGUCAGUCCCGAUGGGGGCCCGGUAAUGGUGUCCACAGCAAUCCACUCCCCCUUUUUCCACAUGAUUCCGUCUUGGGAACUUCUGAGACGCUCAUCUGGGAUAAAAGUGGGCGCACCGUUCCCCGCUGUGUGACUAGAACUCCAGCAACGAGAGCUUUCCAUACAGGAGACAGCCCUGCUGCCUCAGUGUCCUCAUCGGCGACACGGGACUCCUGCCAGUUCCUAGUCCUAUUUCCUCCUCUCUGGGCAUCAAGAUUAAUGUUUGCAGAGAGUUCAGGAGAUUAAAAAUCUGAAAGCCUGAGAGGAAAAAGCUGAUGUAAGAUGAAAGCAGUUCAAACACUAGGCUGGUUUCAAUUCCACAUCGCCUUCUACCUGAGGUGGCUCGGUGAGGAGGCCGGCUCGUAAGGGCAGAAACACAGACAGGCCCGCGGGGACGGUAAACACUCUUGAACUCAAGGAGUAAAGUGGAGUGAUACUUAAGGGAAGCCCACAAACUGGUUUUCUUAUAAAAAUCAAAGCAGAGGGAGCCAAGAAAAGAAAGGGGGGAAAAAAAGUCGUUUUCCAUUAAAGCAUCUGGGCUGAGAACAGACCCUAACGUGUACAGAGCGCCUGAGAAAAUCACACAUGUGGGGAGGUAGAAGGGCAACAGAAACUUUGCCUGUCCUCCCCAUGAGGCCCGCUGGGCCACCCCGCCAGGUCCUUACCCCAGAGUCAGUGGCUACAGGUAAACAUCAGACAACUGGCAAUGAGCACUACAGCCUAGAGUCCGUGGCUACAAGUGAGAGAGGCCAGGCUAGCCCUUGAGAGCUCAAGAAGUCCUCACCUCUGUGAGUGCCCUACACAUGCUGCUCUCCGUGUGUCCCAGAUGCCCAUCUGACAGAAUGGAAAACUGAGGUUCAACGAAGAAGAGGUUAUUUUCACUACCUCUGGCUCCUUGUCUCCCCUCCAAAGCUGACCCUUCUUCCUCUUUCCUGUAGACCCCGAAUCGAUUCCAGGAGGAUGAACCUCAACCUCCCCAAAAGAUGGUGUAAGAGCGAGGACACAACAUGUGGGGUGAAUGAAGGCUGAUGAGGUCUUUCUGCCCCUCGCUGGCAAGCUGUCCAGGUACAUUCUGGGCUUGGCUACAGGCCAUACCAAUAGGAAGCACAUUGCCAGGCUCUGCAAACCGUACGCAGCCCACCCUGAGCCCGGAGCUCCAGCCUGCUGUCUGCCGAGCCUGGGGUGUGUCCCCUGGAAGCCCCAGCACAGUUCACUGCUACCCCUGCAGCCUAUCACACCUCCCAGCGUCCUGCACC